GCGAUCUCCUCCAUUAACGCUUCUCUUCCAUUGAUGAGAUCUAUUGCGCAAGUGUUUCCUACGGCAUCGAGUUGUGUUCUGCAUUUUCCCCAUCUCCAUCGAGCUUUAUUGAGCAUCUAGGUUUUUGAUUUUCUUCCUUGUCAGAAGAAAUUGGAGCUUUCUGAGCACUUGAAGAAAUACCUUGGUACCAGGCAUGAAUUAAACGGAGGAUUUACAUAGCUCUCAUUCAUAGAACAGAAGACAACUCAGAGGCAGCUAGUAGGGGAAUGGUUAAUAUAAUAAUA
This is a long non-coding RNA of Arachis duranensis, 284 nucleotides long. RefSeq lists it as uncharacterized. The transcript has 3 exons. NCBI's taxonomy places the organism in Eukaryota, Viridiplantae, Streptophyta, Magnoliopsida, Fabales, Fabaceae. The record is from RefSeq and is a predicted model, not a curated record.